This 440-nucleotide ribosomal RNA is filed under the name uncultured bacterium. Its description in RNAcentral is "partial 16S ribosomal RNA". It matches the Rfam family "Bacterial small subunit ribosomal RNA", at positions 338 to 795 of the family's 1533-position model. The record is from RNAcentral.
CCUACGGGAGGCAGCAGUGGGGAAUAUUGCACAAUGGGGUAAACCCUGAUGCAGCGACGCCGCGUGAGUGAAGAAGUAUUUCGGUAUGUAAAGCUCUAUCAGCAGGGAAGAAACUGCCGGUACCUGAUUAAGAAGCCCCGGCUAACUACGUGCCAGCAGCCGCGGUAAUACGUAGGGGGCAAGCGUUAUCCGGAUUUACUGGGUGUAAAGGGAGCGUAGACGGCAGCACAAGUCUGGAGUGAAAUGCCGGGGCUUAACCCCGGAACUGCUUUGGAAACUGUGCAGCUUGAGUGCAGGAGAGGUAAGCGGAAUUCCUAGUGUAGCGGUGAAAUGCGUAGAUAUUAGGAGGAACACCAGUGGCGAAGGCGGCUUACUGGACUGUAACUGACGUUGAGGCUCGAAAGCGUGGGGAGCAAACAGGAUUAGAUACCCUAGUAGUC